UCCGGGGGGGGCAAGCGUUGUCCGGAAUCAUUGGGCGUAAAGCGCGCGCAGGCGGCGAUCUACGUCUGGGGUGAAAGCCCGGAGCUCAACUCCGGGACUGCCUUGGAUACGGGAUCGCUUGAGAAUUGGAGAGGCAAGGGGAAUUCCACGUGUAGCGGUGAAAUGCGUAGAUAUCGGGAGGAACAUCAGUGGCGAAGGCGGCCUUCUGGUCCAGUACUGACACUCAAGUGCGAAAGCGUGGGGAGCAAACAGG
RNAcentral lists this ribosomal RNA (253 nucleotides) under uncultured bacterium. RNAcentral describes it as "partial 16S ribosomal RNA". It matches the Rfam family "Bacterial small subunit ribosomal RNA", at positions 524 to 776 of the family's 1533-position model. The record is from RNAcentral.